CAGUAGCCCGGUAAUACGAAGGGGGCUAGCGUUGCUCAGAAUGACUGGGCGUAAAGGGCGCGUAGGCGGAUGGCACAGUCAGAUGUGAAAUUCCCGGGCUUAACCUGGGGGCUGCAUUUGAUACGUGUUGUCUAGAGUGAGGAAGAGGGUCGUGGAAUUCCCAGUGUAGAGGUGAAAUUCGUAGAUAUUGGGAGGAACGCCGAUGGCGAAGGCAGCCACCUGGUCCACUUCUGACGCUGAGGCGCGAAAGCGUGGGGAGCAAACCGGAUUAGAUACCCCUGUAGUCCCUGUCUCUUAUACA
This 301-nucleotide ribosomal RNA is filed under the name uncultured bacterium. Its description in RNAcentral is "partial 16S ribosomal RNA". It matches the Rfam family "Bacterial small subunit ribosomal RNA", at positions 509 to 808 of the family's 1533-position model. The record is from RNAcentral.